This 75-nucleotide transfer RNA is filed under the name Pteropus alecto (black flying fox). It matches the Rfam family "tRNA". From Rfam's summary of the family: Transfer RNA (tRNA) molecules are approximately 80 nucleotides in length. Their secondary structure includes four short double-helical elements and three loops (D, anti-codon, and T loops). The record is from Rfam by way of RNAcentral. Lineage: Eukaryota; Metazoa; Chordata; Mammalia; Chiroptera; Pteropodidae.
GGUUCCAUAGUGUAUAGCGGUUAGCACGUCUGCUUUACACGCAGAAGGUCCUGGGUUCGUACCCCAGUGAAGUCA